GAUGAACGCUGGCGGCGUGCUUAACACAUGCAAGUCGAACGAAACACCUUAUUUGAUUUUCUUCGGAACUGAGGCUUUGGUGAUUGAGUGGCGGACGGGUGCGUAACGCGUGGGUAACCUGCCCUGUACAGGGGGAUAACAGUCAGAAAUGACUGCUAAUACCGCAUAAGACCACAGCACCGCAUGGUGCAGGGGGAAAAACUCCGGUGGUACAGGAUGGACCCGCGUCUGAUUAGCUGGAGGGUGAGGUAACGGCUAACCAAGGCGACGAGCAGUAGCUGGCUUGAGAGAGUGAACGGCCACAAUUGGAAUGAGGCACGGCCCAAUCUGCGAGGGGAGGGUGCAGUGGGGAAUACUGCGCAAUGAAGGCAGACGUGAUGCAGCGGCGCGGGGUGAGUGGACAAGUGUGUCGGUAUGUAAAGCUCUAUCAGAAGGGGAGAAAAUGACGGUACCUGGCUAAGAAGCCCCGGCUAACUACGUG
RNAcentral lists this ribosomal RNA (481 nucleotides) under uncultured bacterium. RNAcentral's name for it is "partial 16S ribosomal RNA". It matches the Rfam family "Bacterial small subunit ribosomal RNA", at positions 28 to 507 of the family's 1533-position model. The record is from RNAcentral.